GCCCAGCCAGUAUAAAGGAUAUGACCCUCGGUUUGUAACCGAAUUGGUUCGGGUUCAAAUCCCGAGUAAGGCA
Molecule: non-coding RNA, 73 nt
Organism: Trichonephila inaurata madagascariensis
Lineage: Eukaryota; Metazoa; Arthropoda; Arachnida; Araneae; Nephilidae
Source: the annotation of a GenBank genome assembly